AUUCUGGGGCCGGGCAUCAACAUCCUUGCCGCCUGGCACAAGCAGGUCGGGCCAAGUCCCACCGGCUCCGAUGACCAGGCGUUCAACUUCGGCAGCGGAUGCUCAAUGGCUACGCCGCACCUGGCGGGGAUUGCCGCGCUGCUCAUGAGCGCCCACCGGGACUGGUCGGUGGCCAUGAUCAAGUCGGCGAUCAUGACGACGGCGCUUACAAAGGACAAAGACGGGAGCCCAAUAAUGGACGAGCGGAGCGAGGAUAUGACGCGGCCCGCGAGCUUGCUCACCACGGGAGCCGGGCAGGUCAAUCCCUCGGCGGCCUACGAUCCGGGCCUCGUUUACGACAUCCAGCCAGAUGACUACGUCCGGUACCUCUGCGGACUGUACAGGAACAACGAUUUGACGGUCAGUGGGAUUGCUCGUCGGAAGGUCAGUUGUUCUGUCAUCGGGGGGAUUGCAGCUGAGGAUCUGAACUAUCCGUCUAUUUCGGUCAAGUUGUCAUUGGGGUCGGAGAAGAACAUAAGCCGAACCGCGACGAAUGUAGGGGAUGCCGCGUCGACGUACACGCCGGAGGUGAUCGAACCGGAAGGAGUGAGCGUGGAAGUAAACCCUGGAACGCUUGAAUUCGCAGCAGUUAUGGAGAAGAAGAGCUUCAACGUGACGCUCAAAGCAAAGAGCAAACUGCGGGGUGGGGGGCGCAGAGAAGGGUACUUGUAUUGGAAAUCAACUGAUGGCAAGUAUAGAGUUGGGAGUCCCAUUUUGGUGCAGUUCUAAGUAAAUAUUGUGAGUACAUCUCGUGUUGUUUCUUUUUCACACUUUGAUCAGUUGAUCACGCAGAAAGUUCUUAAUAAAAAAAAAAAAAGAUGAUAAUAUGGUUACGAAGUUGAAAAAUUAAGAUGAUAAUAUGGUUACGAAGUUGUACUGCACCGAAUACCUUGUAGGAAGUUUCAUCACCUAUCAUGUAUCUCCCUACAAUUUAGAUGUUUUAUAGUUAGCUUCAAUAUUGUAUUUUCUUUUAAGAAUUAAUUUAAUAAAAGUAAUCUAUGGACUUGUUUGGUUUCAUCUAAUUUAGACUUUCGAACCAGAUUGCGAUUCACUGAUUACAAUAAAAUAUUGUUUACUUUAGACAAAUCGAAUUUUGAUUCUCAUUCUAGCCUAAAAUGGAAAUGUUCCAAUCCAUUUACAACUUAAUUCGACUUCAAAUUCUAAAUUGAUCCAUUCAAAAAUAAAUCACUUAAGCCUUACCUCUCAAACAUCUCUACCUCCUCUCCCCUUAUCACUCUCCUCUUCUCUAUUAAAAUCAUUUCUCAAUUUUUUUUUUGUAUUUCAAUUACUCAUUAUAAUUUUCAUUCCAAUAAUAAAUCAAAUAAUUUAAAAUUUUUUUUUAUUAUUUUUCAUUUUAAGGCACUCAAAUUUUAUUUUUAUUUUCAUUCCAAUUAUAAGCUAAAUACGUCCUAAAAGGUACAUUUAACAAUAGUAAUUUAUUUUAUUAAUAUUUUUAUUUGUGAAACAAUGAAACUACAUCAUCCUCUUUGCAAGUAUUUGAUAUUGGCCCGAGAUUACCCGAUCUCUAGCAUAUGUUAAUCUAUUAACGAAAGUUUGGAACGAGCUACAAUGGCCUGUCUUUAGCUUCAUGCACCUUACUUUUCUCCUUUUUUCUACUUCCUCCCUCUUCCCCUAUCUUCCUUUUUUCACUUCUUCUUGCUAUUUUUUUUUACCUAUUUUCGGAGGUCGAAGCUGCUUUCAUUUUGUAUGCCUAAUUCAUUUUACUUAAUGAAUGAAGCAGGUAGCUCGCUACCUAUUUUUCAAAGAGCAAUGCUUCAAUACACCAUAGGUAUUAAAAUUAAACUCUUAAUUAGUAAAGGGUAUAGUUGGAUUUUACAUAAAAUAACCUAUUGAAUAGGUUGUCAAUUUGAAUUAGUUAAUAUGACAAUAUUGGAAAAAAAUUAGUAGCAUAUACUAAAAUUGUCAGCAUCUUUUAAUUAGUUUUGUUACUUACCAAAUUAGAUAAUACCCAAUUUGUUAAGUAUCAAACUCAAAAAAAUAUUGAAUUUAAAUUUAAGUUUUGAAGUUGGUAUUGUAAUGUAAAGUUUUAAUUUCAAAAUUUAUAUUAAACUUUUAAAUUUUGAACCUACAUUGUACUUUUAAUCUGAAAACCAAAUUUUAAUUUUUGAUUUAAAUUACAANCUACAUUGUACUUUUAAUCUGAAAACCAAAUUUUAAUUUUUGAUUUAAAUUACAAUUUUGAAUUUGAACUGAAAGUUUUUUUUAAAAUUUGUGUUUUAUAUUUAAAAAGUGAAUUUGAUUUAUAAUUAAGUUUGUUAUGUUGCUUUGCAUUUAAAUUUAUAAUUUAGUUGUAAUUUGAAUUCCAACUAUUGUUGUAGGUAUUUGAGAAGGUUAUAGUAUUUUUUAGUUAGAUUGAACCGGUUUUGUAGGCGAAAAUAUUUUUCUAUGACCAAAAUACCCUUUAAAUAGGUACCUGGUGAAUGGUACCUAUGCCUAAAUAGUAAGUCGUCUCUAGAAUCAUAUUACAUCUCAACCAUCUAUGUAAAAAAAUAAAUGGUCAAGAUUUACAUAAGAUUUAGAUGGUGUAUUGAAGUAUUACUCUUUUUCAAAAAAAAAAAAGAUAUUGGCCCGAAACAAUUUCAUUUUCCGGGCAGCACCCUCCGACGCUACCCGAUCUCUAGCACGUGUUAAUCUAUUAAUGAUGGCUUAGAACGAGCUACAAUGACCUGUCUUUAGCUUCCUGUACCUUACUUUUCUCCUUUUUUCUACUUCCUCCCUCCUCCCCUAUCUUUUUUUUUUCACUUCUUCUAGCUAUUUUUUUUACCUGUUUUCGGAGGCCGAAGUUGCUUCCACUUUUUAUGCCUAGUUCAUUUUAUUUAAUAAAUGAAGCAGAUAGCUCGCUAUCUAUUUCUCAAAAAAAAAAAGAUAAUGCCCCGAGACUCCAAAAUAGUAUUUACAAGUUCCGUACGUGUUAGCCAUGAUAUCAUUGAUAUGGAGCAAGUCAGGGUGCUAUAUAUUUUGCCCACUUUAAGUGAAAAUGUAACCUUAAACUUAUUUUUAUUCAUUAAUGAGAAAAUAUAUUCACUUCAAUAGUUCAUUUUUGAAAUAAAUUAUCAAACUUUUGAUAUAUUAUUUUACAUAAUAUUUGCUUUAAUUUGAUCAUGGGUUAGUUUUUUGGCUCAUUAAGUUUAAAUUAUUUAAAAGAUUAUUCUUAAUUCUAUUAAAUUUCAUGAUUUCAAGUACUCUUAAUCUAAAGAAAGUAAAGAUCCCAACGAUAAUUAAUGUAGCAAUAGAUAUUAAAGUGAAUUAACUAAAACAUAUAAAUUGAAAUAAAAAAUAGUCAAUCAAUACAAAAAAAGUCUGAUAAUCUAUUUCAAAAGAAAAUUGAUAUUGUCAAAAUUAUUCUUUAAUAUCGUCAGAAUAAACAAUAUUUAAAUCAUAAUUAAAUAUUCUAAUGUUUAUUCAGACAAUAUCAAAAGUAGUUUUGACAACAUUAGAUUAAUUCCAAUUCAAAAUUCGAAUCAUAUAUUUUUCAUUUCCCAAUUUAAGGCGAAUACGUGACAGGGUCAGUUGCAGCGGGCACAUCGAUCCGCAAUCACUCAGACGCUCUCGUCAAUCUCAUCAAGCUAGCAACAUAGAGAAGGAAAAAAAUUACUGCACCACAACAACAGGGAAAAAUUGAAUCCAACAAAAUAAAACUUGACUACUACUACUUGGUUUUGCUCGUUUUGUUUUGCUUCAGUUUGGCCAAAUAUAGAUACUCCGACUUUAGAGCAGCACAUUUAUUUUGUAGUUUGAAUCAAAAUUGAAAAAUAAAAUCAUAAUGACGAACAGACUUAAAAUUUUUUUUUUUUUUUGAGAAAAAAAUAGCAAGCUAUUUGCUUCAUUCAUUAAGUGAUAUGAACUAAGCGCACAAAAUGAAAUCAGCUAAGACUUCCAAAAAGCAGGCAAAAAGUGGUAGAGAUAAGAAGCAAGAAAGAAGUGGGUAGGUGGGAAAAGAGAGAGAAGAGAGAGAAACUAGUGACAUGUCGGUCCAAUUUUCCAUUGUUACUGUAUUCACUCAACCUUGGAGACAGCCUUUGUCUGACAGUAUCGCAAAACGAUGGUUUCGACUAAGGCGGUUGGCUACUGGACAAAAUCUAAUUGACAUCGACCUUGCUAUUGCAGCGACUUAUUGGGAGCUCUGGAAAGAAAGGAAUAGAAGAUUAUUCGAUAAUCUGCAGGUCCGAAGCGACGUCCUGGGUAGAUGCAUUUUUGAAACAGUCUCAUGUUGGAAGUCGGCUUUUUGCUCUUUUGGCUGUUAGGUGCUUAUUUUGUUUGUGUCUGUGUUACCUUGUAUUUUGUUCGCUGCUUUGUUUGCUGUUUGGUUUCUGUCUUGGAUCCUAAGGGGAUGCUCAUGGGACCUUUCAUUGGUUGCAAGUGCUAGGAUGCACCUUGUUCUCUUCUGAUCCUCCCUCUGUAAAAUAGGGUUCAUCCCUGUUUAAUCAAAAAAAAAAAAAAUUCCAUUGUUACAGUGAAAUAGAUUCAAACUAUAAAGAUCAAAUUAAAUAGCAGGAUUACUAAUCAAAUGUGCUCCUUUGUUUCAGUUUGAUGGAGAGCAUGGAUAGAGCAAUCUAAGAUCCUUGUUUCUACAGAGGACACGAGCACUUUCAGUAUGUAACUAGUUUUGUUAGGUUCUUCAAUUUCUUGGAUCACAAUCCUUUUGUCCCAUGGCUAUAGUUUAUCGAGUGAUUAUUGGCAUUAGGAUAUGCUUGUUAAAGAUCUUGGCCUACUCACUGAUUUUUAGUUUGUCUAACUUCGCUUUAUUGAGCAUGAUCCAAUUAUUUGUGAGAUUACAAGUGCAAACGAUGUACCCUCCUUUUGCAGCAUCCAAUACAAUUUCUUUUAUGGUGUCUCGGAAGCAUGAAAAACCAUCACUUCUGAACAAUCACUAAUUAAUUCUAGGUACCGACCAUUCUAGAGCAACUGGUGAAGGAUUUGAUGUUUGGUAUCCGAGACCCAAGUUUGAAUCCUAGUUGAUUCACAUUUCCCGCUAAGUUUAUUUCUAAAUGAAAUAAAUGAAGCGGGUAGCAUGCUAUCUUUCUCUCAAAAAAAUAAAAAAUAAAAAAAAUAAUUAAUUCUAGGUGGACAUUGACCGUCACUAGCAUAAAUAGUAUAGGAUUUAAAGACAAUGGUUAGUAUUUGAGGUCCAAAUGUUAAAUUCUAAUUGUUUUAUAUUUUCAACUAAAUUUAAUUUUUAAAAAAAUAAACGAAGCGACUAACAUAAUACCUUUACCUCUCCCCCUUUAAAAAAGAAAAGAGAGAAAAUUCUAGAAUUAACGGACCACAGCUAAUACAAUUGGCUUACUUAAUUAUACUUUAUUAUAUUAUAUUUUGUGAUCUUUUACACGUUGAUAACCUUCUUUUCGCAGUGACCAAUGAGUUGUUAUUAAUAUUUUUAAUUAUUAAUAAACCUACGAUUUUGGUCGGGUCUAAGGAGUAUUAUGAAAAAAAUGCUACCUGUAAAGGAGAGAAAAUGAUUGAGCACCAUUUGACAGAUGUUUUAUAUAUAUUUUUAAGCGGAAUCUAUCAAAAACUUAUGCCAAAAAAAGAACAUAUAUAAUCGGCUGACUUUGAUUGAGCGCAUUUACACAACUUGAUUUUAAAUUUUUAGACUUUAAUUUGACAAUUUAAAAUGAAUUUAAUAUUUUAAAUUUUAAGUUUAGUUUUAUUAUAUUUAUUUUUAAACUCCAUCAGAAUAAUAAAAAAGAAACAGAUAGAGAGAUAUUGCGUUCUAUUUCCAAUUUUAAUUCUUAUUUAGGCGAGACAUGUCCAUCGAGUCUAAAAAAAACCUCUUCUGAAACGAAAAGUUAUUUUAAAAAAACGAAAUAUUAUUAUUUUAAUAUUUUACGUUUAAAAGUUUGUACGAUAUAAUAAAUAGUGAUCGAGCUAAGUAACAAACAAUCAUUUUAGAAGUGUAAUCCUCAUUUAAAUCCUUCAAUGUAGAAUCCAAAGCAAUUGACCAUUAUUGUAUAUACAUUUAUUUAAACUGCCUCCUUAGUUGGUUGCGUCAAACUGUGUCUUCCGCCAAAAUUAUGGCGAAGAAGAAACUUCCCUUUCCCUCCUUCUUCGUCUCCGUUACAUUAUUUCUAACAUGUUUUCAACCAUGCAUGAUCGAGAGCAAUCCCCUCUCCAUUGUUGAUCCUGAUGAGGGAGACGAUCUCUACAUCAUCACCGUCGUCCCCCCGGACGGCGACAUCGACCUCCUCGGCGCCGAAGAGCUCGAGCAAUACCACCUCUCCUUCCUGCCCAACUCCACCCUCGACUCCGGCGCCCCGCGUCUCGUCCGCUCCUUCCGCCACGCCUUCAGCGGCUUCGCGGCGAGGCUGACCCCCGUGGAAGCCGCCGCCGUCAAAGUGGUGGACGGCGUCGUCUCCGUCCAGGAAAACCGGAUUACGCCGCUCGGGACUACUUACACCCCGACGUUCCUGGGCCUGAAUGGAUACAACGGCAUCUGGUACAAGACUAAAGGGGAGGGCGUAAUCAUCGGUGUCCUCGACACCGGCAUCUCCCGGAACCACGUGUCGUUCGCCGACGACAAGAUGCCGCCGCCCCCUGCGAAGUGGCGCGGCUGCUGCGAGUUUGUCACCAGCAAGUGCGACCCCUUUGUGCCGACGGUGUGCAGUAACAAGCUCCUCGGUGCACGGAAGCUGAUCUACAAAUCACCCGAGGAUGAGUCUGGGCACGGUAGUCAUUGUUCUAGCAUAGCUGCGGGGAACUAUGUUCAAAGUGCCGAGGUGCGUGGCCACGCUGAGGGCACCGCGGCGGGCAUGGCCCCGCGGGCGCACAUCGCAACAUACAAGAUUUGCGGCGGCGCGAACCAGUGCUUUUCUUUCUCACAAGCCAGCGGCCUGGACCAGGCUAUCGCUGACGGAGUCGACGUGCUGUCCCUCUCCAUCGACUCCUACCCGGAGCGUCUGCACGAGAGCAACAUCGCCAAGGCGUCGUUCGUCGCGAUGGAGAAGGGCAUCUUCACGAGCGCGUGCGCGGGGAACUCCAUGGGGAACGUCCGGAAGGAGGUGGUGAACGACGCCCCAUGGAUCCUGACUGUCGGCGCCAGCACGACCGACCGAAGGGUGCGCGCGGUCGUGCGGCUCGGCAACGGUAUGGAGUUUUACGGCGAGUCUGCGUAUCCUUUAGAAAUCUCAAACGGGACAGGAACAGUGCCGCUCGUUUACCCGGGGAAAGUGGAUAACACGCCUGCGAGGCUUGGCUGCAUGAAAGAGGGGCUGAGUGGUUUGAACGUUACAGGGAAGAUCGUGCUGUGCGCCGUCGGAGAGAUCGAGAAUCACGAGAAAGUGGAGAUCGUGAAAAAGGCUGGGGGAGUCGGCGUAAUAUUGCUCGGCCAAAAAUGGAACGGGCAGACCACGUACGCCGAAUCACUCGAACUUCCUUCGGUCUGGAUGGGCAACCUCGACACUGUCGAGAUUGUGAACUACGCUCUGAACACCGACGAUGCCACCGGGGAGAUUGCUUUCCAAGGCACGCAGUUCGGCUACCGACCGGCCCCUGCGGUCGCCGGGUUGUCGGUAACGGGACCGAGCAAGUACAACGGCGGCAUCCUGAAGCCCGACAUUCUGGGGCCGGGCAUCAACAUCCUCGCCGCCUGGCACAAGCAGGUCGGGCCAAGUCCCACCGGCUCUGACGACCGGGCAUUCAACUUCGGUAGCGGAUGCUCCAUGGCCACGCCACACCUGGCCGGGAUCGCCGCGCUGCUCAUGAGCGCCCACCGGGACUGGUCGGUGGCCAUGAUCAAGUCGGCGAUCAUGACGACGGCGCUUACAAAGGACAAAGACGGGAACCCGAUAAUCGAC
This 7853-nucleotide long non-coding RNA is filed under the name Ananas comosus (pineapple). RNAcentral describes it as "long non-coding RNA (ACOM_LNC018697)". Lineage: Eukaryota; Viridiplantae; Streptophyta; Magnoliopsida; Poales; Bromeliaceae. The record is from RNAcentral.